GAUGAAGAACGUAGCGAAAUGCGAUAAGUAAUGUGAAUUGCAGAAUUCAGUGAAUCAUCGAAUGUUUGAACGCACAUUGCGCCCAUUAGCAUUCUAGUGGGCAUGCCUGUUCGAGCGUCAUUUCAACCCUUAAGCCCUGUUGCUUAGCGUUGGGAGCCUACAGUACUGUAGCUCCCCAAAGUUAGUGGCGGAGUCGGUUUCACACUCUAGACGUAGUAAUUUUUUCUCGUCUGUAGUUGAGCCGGUCCCCUGCCGUAAAACACCCAAUUUAUCAAGGUUGACCUCGGAUCAGGUAGGAAUACCCGCUGAACUUAAGCAUAUCAAUAAGCGGAGGA
RNAcentral lists this unclassified non-coding RNA (335 nucleotides) under soil metagenome. RNAcentral describes it as "partial contains 5.8S ribosomal RNA, internal transcribed spacer 2, and large subunit ribosomal RNA". The stretch from base 1 to 120 matches the Rfam family "5.8S ribosomal RNA", at positions 35 to 154 of the family's 154-position model. The record is from RNAcentral.